AAAUUGAAGAGUUUGAUCAUGGCUCAGAUUGAACGCUGGCGGCAGGCCUAACACAUGCAAGUCGAACGGUAACAGGAAGAAGCUUGCUUCUUUGCUGACGAGUGGCGGACGGGUGAGUAAUGUCUGGGAAACUGCCUGAUGGAGGGGGAUAACUACUGGAAACGGUAGCUAAUACCGCAUAACGUCGCAAGACCAAAGAGGGGGACCUUCGGGCCUCUUGCCAUCGGAUGUGCCCAGAUGGGAUUAGCUUGUUGGUGGGGUAACGGCUCACCAAGGCGACGAUCCCUAGCUGGUCUGAGAGGAUGACCAGCCACACUGGAACUGAGACACGGUCCAGACUCCUACGGGAGGCAGCAGUGGGGAAUAUUGCACAAUGGGCGCAAGCCUGAUGCAGCCAUGCCGCGUGUAUGAAGAAGGCCUUCGGGUUGUAAAGUACUUUCAGCGGGGAGGAAGGGAGUAAAGUUAAUACCUUUGCUCAUUGACGUUACCCGCAGAAGAAGCACCGGCUAACUCCGUGCCAGCAGCCGCGGUAAUACGGAGGGUGCAAGCGUUAAUCGGAAUUACUGGGCGUAAAGCGCACGCAGGCGGUUUGUUAAGUCAGAUGUGAAAUCCCCGGGCUCAACCUGGGAACUGCAUCUGAUACUGGCAAGCUUGAGUCUCGUAGAGGGGGGUAGAAUUCCAGGUGUAGCGGUGAAAUGCGUAGAGAUCUGGAGGAAUACCGGUGGCGAAGGCGGCCCCCUGGACGAAGACUGACGCUCAGGUGCGAAAGCGUGGGGAGCAAACAGGAUUAGAUACCCUGGUAGUCCACGCCGUAAACGAUGUCGACUUGGAGGUUGUGCCCUUGAGGCGUGGCUUCCGGAGCUAACGCGUUAAGUCGACCGCCUGGGGAGUACGGCCGCAAGGUUAAAACUCAAAUGAAUUGACGGGGGCCCGCACAAGCGGUGGAGCAUGUGGUUUAAUUCGAUGCAACGCGAAGAACCUUACCUGGUCUUGACAUCCACAGAACUUUCCAGAGAUGGAUUGGUGCCUUCGGGAACUGUGAGACAGGUGCUGCAUGGCUGUCGUCAGCUCGUGUUGUGAAAUGUUGGGUUAAGUCCCGCAACGAGCGCAACCCUUAUCCUUUGUUGCCAGCGGUCCGGCCGGGAACUCAAAGGAGACUGCCAGUGAUAAACUGGAGGAAGGUGGGGAUGACGUCAAGUCAUCAUGGCCCUUACGACCAGGGCUACACACGUGCUACAAUGGCGCAUACAAAGAGAAGCGACCUCGCGAGAGCAAGCGGACCUCAUAAAGUGCGUCGUAGUCCGGAUUGGAGUCUGCAACUCGACUCCAUGAAGUCGGAAUCGCUAGUAAUCGUGGAUCAGAAUGCCACGGUGAAUACGUUCCCGGGCCUUGUACACACCGCCCGUCACACCAUGGGAGUGGGUUGUAAAAGAAGUAGGUAGCUUAACCUUCGGGAGGGCGCUUACCACUUUGUGAUUCAUGACUGGGGUGAAGUCGUAACAAGGUAACCGUAGGGGAACCUGCGGUUGGAUCACCUCCUUACCUUAAAGAAGC
This 1554-nucleotide ribosomal RNA is filed under the name Escherichia coli. RNAcentral describes it as "bacterial SSU rRNA". It matches the Rfam family "Bacterial small subunit ribosomal RNA". The record is from RNAcentral. Lineage: Bacteria; Pseudomonadati; Pseudomonadota; Gammaproteobacteria; Enterobacterales; Enterobacteriaceae.